RNAcentral lists this ribosomal RNA (511 nucleotides) under Candida albicans. Its description in RNAcentral is "eukaryotic LSU rRNA". The stretch from base 144 to 297 matches the Rfam family "5.8S ribosomal RNA". Lineage: Eukaryota; Fungi; Ascomycota; Pichiomycetes; Serinales; Debaryomycetaceae. The record is from RNAcentral.
UUGUUCUGAUUUGCUUAUUGCACCACAUGUGUUUUUCUUUGAAACAAACUUGCUUUGGCGGUGGGCCCAGCCUGCCGCCAGAGGUCUAAACUUACAACCAAUUUUUUAUCAACUUGUCACACCAGAUUAUUACUAAUAGUCAAAACUUUCAACAACGGAUCUCUUGGUUCUCGCAUCGAUGAAGAACGCAGCGAAAUGCGAUACGUAAUAUGAAUUGCAGAUAUUCGUGAAUCAUCGAAUCUUUGAACGCACAUUGCGCCCUCUGGUAUUCCGGAGGGCAUGCCUGUUUGAGCGUCGUUUCUCCCUCAAACCGCUGGGUUUGGUGUUGAGCAAUACGACUUGGGUUUGCUUGAAAGACGGUAGUGGUAAGGCGGGAUCGCUUUGACAAUGGCUUAGGUCUAACCAAAAACAUUGCUUGCGGCGGUAACGUCUACCACGUAUAUCUUCAAACUUUGACCUCAAAUCAGGUAGGACUACCCGCUGAACUUAAGCAUAUCAAAAGCCGGGGGGA